RNAcentral lists this ribosomal RNA (460 nucleotides) under uncultured bacterium. RNAcentral's name for it is "partial 16S ribosomal RNA". It matches the Rfam family "Bacterial small subunit ribosomal RNA", at positions 338 to 795 of the family's 1533-position model. The record is from RNAcentral.
CCUACGGGUGGCAGCAGUGAGGAAUAUUGGUCAAUGGGCGGGAGCCUGAACCAGCCAAGUCGCGUGAAGGAAGAAGGUACUUAGUAUUGUAAACUUCUUUUGUCGGGGAACAAAGGCGGAGACGCGUCUCCGGAUGAGUGUACCCGAAGAAAAAGCAUCGGCUAACUCCGUGCCAGCAGCCGCGGUAAUACGGAGGAUGCGAGCGUUAUCCGGAUUUAUUGGGUUUAAAGGGUGCGCAGGCGGGAGAUCAAGUCAGCGGUAAAAUGUCGGGGCUCAACCGUAAAAUUGCAGUUGAAACUGGCAGUCUUGAGUACAGUAGAGGUGGGCGGAAUUCGUGGUGUAGCGGUGAAAUGCUUAGAUAUCACGAAGAACUCCGAUUGCGAAGGCAGUUCACUGGACUGCAACUGACACUGAGGCUCGAAAGUGUGGGUAUCAAACAGGAUUAGAUACCCUAGUAGUC